Scleropages formosus (Asian bonytongue) is the source of this 511-nucleotide long non-coding RNA. RefSeq lists it as uncharacterized. The transcript has 3 exons. Lineage: Eukaryota; Metazoa; Chordata; Actinopteri; Osteoglossiformes; Osteoglossidae. The record is from RefSeq and is a predicted model, not a curated record.
UUGUGAAGAUAGCAAUAACCAUUGACAACCUCGUUCGUCAGAGAACCCCUCAUCUGCGGAUGCCGCUCCUGAACACUGUCCCGGUGAGCAAACUCCAGAACCGAUGCGGAUUGGCCAAGGCUGACUAGAUCCCGAUGAGAGACAGCGCCGUCUCCGCAACUGUCUGUGCCUCUACUGUGGAAUCCCCGGCCAUUUCCGUGCGACCUGCCUGGUUCGCCCGACACCACUGAAAGCUAACUCAGAACCCAAGGUGUUUGUCAAUCAUGUACUAGGAGACCUCGUGGAUGACUGCAUCCUGGUGUACCUGGAUGACAUCUUGAUCAUCUCCAAGACCCGGGAAGUCCACGUCUGCCAGUGACAACUCCUUUGACUCCCUGACCUUCGCAUCAUCCCUGGCUUUGAUCUUUGGAUUCCCCUUGGUGACCGACAAAUGCAAAUCACCCGAACCUUGCCUGUGCGGACCACCCUCGUGGCUAUCCUGCAUAAAUAAAAACACCUGCACCUGCUGAGU